RNAcentral lists this unclassified non-coding RNA (146 nucleotides) under uncultured Cadophora. RNAcentral's name for it is "sequence contains ITS2". Lineage: Eukaryota; Fungi; Ascomycota; Leotiomycetes; Helotiales. The record is from RNAcentral.
UAACCACUCAAGCUCUCGCUUGGUAUUGGGGUUCGCGGUUUCGCGGCCCCUAAAAUCAGUGGCGGUGCCUGUCGGUUCUACGCGUAGUAAUACUCCUCGCGAUUGAGUCCGGUAGGUCUACUUGCCAGCAACCCCUAAUUUUUUAA